GACGAAGGAUGCAAGCGUUAUCCGGAUUCAUUGGGUUUAAAGGGAGCGUAGGUGGCCUUAUAAGUCAGUGGUGAAAUCUUCGAGCUUAACUCGGAAGUUGCCAUUGAUACUGUAGGGCUUGAGUACAGUUGCUGUGGGCGGAAUAUGACAUGUAGUGGUGAAAUACAUAGAGAUGUCAUAGAACACCGAUUGCGAAGGCAGCUCACAAAACUGUAACUGACACUGAGGCUCGAAAGUGCGGGGAUCAAACAGG
This 253-nucleotide ribosomal RNA is filed under the name uncultured bacterium. RNAcentral describes it as "partial 16S ribosomal RNA". It matches the Rfam family "Bacterial small subunit ribosomal RNA", at positions 524 to 776 of the family's 1533-position model. The record is from RNAcentral.